UGCUUGAAUUUUGAUUCAAAUCUUAUCAAAUUAUGCAUUGAUUAACACAUGGUACAAAGAACUGUCAAUCUUAUCUUCCGCCUCAAUAUUCCAAUUAUUGGAUUGCUUGAUGAAACAAUUAAUAUAUACUUUUCAAUGCUGAUUGUUUUUUCUUCCCUAUAAUACAAAACAUUUUACAAAGAAAAUCAUCCUGUAGUCUGCAGUGGUUGUGGUUUUCCUUGCCAUGCAUGACAAUCAAUAUUCUUUUAUUUUCUCCAUCUCACAUUACCCCCCAAUUUAAGUAUAGUUUGCUGAGCUUCAGUUCAUCCAUAUUCAAAUAAGUUCCACUUUGUCAUGAAGUAAAGGCAGUAUCCUAGCUUAUUUUGACCUUAACUGUUUGUUUUAAAGUUGGGCAAGUUUUUAAAAAUCACAAAGUUUGUUUUGAAAUUCAAAUUUUGUCGAAAACCACAAUGUGGUUGGCACAAGAAUAAACAACUGAAGAACACAACCCUCCUAUAAGUCAGCACUGUAUAGAACUGCCUAACUGUUCCUCAACAAAUCCAUUUUAUUUGUGUCCAGGAAUAAUCAAACUCAUGUAUUAAGAGUGUGCUGGGAUAAAUAAGACAGGACUAUUAAACAAUGAGGCAGUUCUAACAGUGCUAAUUUUAAAAGUAUUGUAUACUUCAAUUGAUCACUAAUUGCUUUUGUAAGAUUCAAUAUCUGAAGACUCGAAUAACAUCCAGAGUCAACAUUGAAACAAACAUUGUGAUUUUCAGAUAAACUUUCCAAACUUUCAACAAACACUGAAAGUCCACUUAAACAAGAGAAGAUUGAGAUGGAACAUAAGUUUAAAAAAACCACCUCAAUCGUCUCAAUGUUUAACUGAUGUAACAAAGCCAAACACUGACAAACUUUUCAAUUUUUUAUAUUCGACAAAAACUUUGGAAAUAUGUAGAAACAACUAUGUUCUCAGAUAGAACAUAG
This is a non-coding RNA of Paramuricea clavata, 963 nucleotides long. NCBI's taxonomy places the organism in Eukaryota, Metazoa, Cnidaria, Anthozoa, Malacalcyonacea, Plexauridae. The record is from the annotation of a GenBank genome assembly.